UAAAUCUUUUCAUGCGGUUCCUAAAGAAAUUAAUGGCGCAGAGAUAAACGCGGUUUUGAAGUUAGUGACUUCGUGCCAGAAACGGGAAUGUCACAACCGAGAGAAGAUUCGUCGUCUUCGUGUUUCGACGAUUCACUAUUGUCUUCCGAGCUUGCAUGUCUAAAAGGAAUGAGUCGAUAUAAUUGCUCUAUUUAGAAAAAUUAUUCUUUCGUUUUUCUAACCGAGAAAAACGGAAAGGCAAUAAAACUGGGAAUGAAAGGAUGAGGCAGAGAAAAUGCAGAAUAAGGUUUUGGCUAUCUACUUCUCAGCUUAGGAAAUACAGUAAAAUCGAUUGAAACACUUCCAAUUUGUGUAUGAAGAUGGAGAGGUGGAAAGCCCAAAACAAAAAAUUCCUCUAUACCUAAAAUAUCUUGUCAAUUCAAACAAGAUUCCUAUGACUAGGAUUAAAUCAAACAAGGGAAUGAAUUGGUCUGCUGCGCCGAAGGGAAGCAAAUACCAUAAAAAAAA
Leptinotarsa decemlineata (Colorado potato beetle) is the source of this 507-nucleotide long non-coding RNA. NCBI's taxonomy places the organism in Eukaryota, Metazoa, Arthropoda, Insecta, Coleoptera, Chrysomelidae. The record is from RefSeq and is a predicted model, not a curated record.